Molecule: ribosomal RNA, 327 nt
Filed under: uncultured eukaryote
Lineage: Eukaryota
Description: partial 18S ribosomal RNA
Rfam family: Eukaryotic small subunit ribosomal RNA
Source: RNAcentral
CCCUUAGAUGUUCUGGGCCACACGCGCGUUACGCUGAUGAAGCCAGCGAGUAUAUCGCCUUCACCGGAAGGUGCGGGUAAUCUUGUGAAACUUCAUCGUGCUGGGGAUAGACCAUUGCAAUUAUUGGUCUUGAACGAGGAAUUCCUAGUAAGCAUGAGUCAUCAACUCGUGCUGAUUACGUCCCUGCCCUUUGUACACACCGCCCGUCGCUACUACCGAUUGAAUGGUUUAGUGAGAUCUCGGGAUUGGAGACGUUGCGCCGCAAGGCACAUCGUCCUCGAGAACUUGAUCAAACUUGAUCAUUUAGAGGAAGUAAAAGUCGUAACA